AGUGAACGCUGGCGGUAGGCCUAACACAUGCAAGUCGAACGGCAGCACAGUAAGAGCUUGCUCUUACGGGUGGCGCGUGGCGGACGGGUGAGGAAUACAUCGGAAUCUACUUUUUCGUGGGGGAUAACGUAGGGAAACUUACGCUAAUACCGCAUACGACCUACGGGUGAAAGCAGGGGAUCUUCGGACCUUGCGCGAUUGAAUUAGCCGAUGUCGGAUUAGCUAGUUGGCGGGGUAAAGGCCCACCAAGGCGACGAUCCGUAGCUGGUCUGAGAGGAUGAUCAGCCACACUGGAACUGAGAAACGGUCCAGACUCCUACGGGAGGCCGCAGUGGGGAAUAUUGGACAAUGGGCGCAAGCCUGAUACAGCCAUACCGCGUGGGUGAAGAAGGCCUUCGGGUUGUAAAGCCCUUUUGUUGGGAAAGAAAAGCAGCAGGUUAAUACCCCGCUGUUCUGACGGUACCCAAAGAAUAAGCACCGGCUAACUUCGUG
RNAcentral lists this ribosomal RNA (492 nucleotides) under uncultured bacterium. RNAcentral describes it as "partial 16S ribosomal RNA". It matches the Rfam family "Bacterial small subunit ribosomal RNA", at positions 29 to 507 of the family's 1533-position model. The record is from RNAcentral.